RNAcentral lists this ribosomal RNA (253 nucleotides) under uncultured bacterium. RNAcentral describes it as "partial 16S ribosomal RNA". It matches the Rfam family "Bacterial small subunit ribosomal RNA", at positions 524 to 776 of the family's 1533-position model. The record is from RNAcentral.
UACGUAGGUGGCGAGCGUUGUCCGGAUUUACUGGGCGUAAAGGGAGCGUAGGCGGAUUUUUAAGUCUGAUGUGAAAGCCUUCGGCUUAACCGGAGUAGUGCAUUGGAAACUGGGAGACUUGAGUGCAGAAGAGGAGAGUGGAACUCCAUGUGUAGCGGUGAAAUGCGUAGAUAUAUGGAAGAACACCAGUGGCGAAAGCGGCUCUCUGGUCUGUAACUGACGCUGAGGUUCGAAAGCGUGGGUAGCAAACAGG